RNAcentral lists this long non-coding RNA (284 nucleotides) under Ananas comosus (pineapple). Its description in RNAcentral is "long non-coding RNA (ACOM_LNC006587)". Lineage: Eukaryota; Viridiplantae; Streptophyta; Magnoliopsida; Poales; Bromeliaceae. The record is from RNAcentral.
UGUAUUUUUUUUUCCGAAGGAGACAAGAAUUCGAACUUGAUUUUUUUGUGAUUGUAGUUUUGCAAUAAAUGUAUUUUUUUUCCGAAGGAGACAGGAAUUCGAACUUGAUUUUUUGUGAUUGUUAUAAUAUUUUGUUGAUCUUAAGAGGGGUUGAACAGAGAGAGGGUGAGACGUGUCGCUUAAUCUCAGGAGAAGGUUUUUAUAAUUGUAGGGGUCUGAGAAUAUUCACAAUCAUCAACUACAAGUGAUUUGAAAGCAGGUCUUAUAAUUUUAUUAUUCAAAUA